AGAAUGAAACUACCUCCUCCAGAGAAACCAGCCAAGAGAUGCAGAGAAAUGGAGCUCCUCCAGCUUCAGCGAUGUCCCCGGAUCCACUCUUCAUGGGAAGCAGUCCCAUCUUUAGCUCCCCAGGUCUUACAUCUUUAAAGCAGCAAGUCUGUCCCCUUCGUGCUCAUUGAGAAUAUCUGAUACCUUCAUGUUUGGACUCAUCCAGCCCCCAUCUCCUCAGUCUAUCUCAGAUCUGACAGUGGAGGCUGCUUUGUCCAGGACCAACCUUUUCUCUUGCCUCAUUUCUGCUAUGCCAGCUGAUGAAGAGCAUGCUAUGCCCUCAGCUUCUUGGACUUCACCCUGGCCCUGGAAGUCUGCCGGAAAUCACUGAGGGUUUCUGUAUUGUUGAAUGAUGCGAUCUGCCUUCCUUUGGGAAGAUAACCUUGUCCUGGGAUUAGGAAGAGGAGGAAGAGCUCUACACCCACCUGAUCUGUUCUGGAGCCAGACUUCCUUGGUUCAAAUCCCAAUUCUGCCACAUACUACCUCUGUUACUUUGGGGAAGGGGAGCUCUUCCAGGCCUCUGACUUGUGAAGACAGACACUGCAGAGGACUUUUUGCUGAGAAAAGAAGCUGAAUGAAGGGAUGGAUGUCUUUAAAAGGCCCGGUCUUGGGGGUCCAUCACCUCUCUAAGAACCAUCUUCAUCUCCUCCUCCUCCUCUGUGCCCUUCCAGGAAAAGAGGAGCAGACUCCUCUGCUCCCAGGUGGAGAAAAGCAUGAAUUCUUUAAAAUACUUUGAGUGUAGAGUAUGGGUGUGUGGAAAACUUCCUGGAGGAGGUGAGAUGAUCUAAGGGAGGCACGUUGCUCUUGUGGGAUGGAGCAGAGCAUUCAGGGUGGAGAUUCCUGGAUGAUAUGGACAGAGGCAGAGUGAAGUUUCACAUUUUGGAGGAUGGAUAUAGCUGGGCUGCUUUGAAAGAGACAUGUCAAGAUGGAAGUGGACCCAACAUAAAAGUUAGUGGACACGACACAAAAUUGAGUGGCAGGCAUCAAUGAUUUGGAUCAGUCACCCGAGCACAUUCCCUGGAAUUCCAGCAAGUUCACAGAAGGGAUUUUCCUUCUUCAAGCCCCUCUCCCUGCCCUGCCAAUUCUUGACAGUGAUGUUAAACCACACCUGCUUGGCCCCUGAGACAUCUCUCACCUGCCCCGGGUCCUACAGGAAGAUGAACUGCCAAGGUGAAAAGGCUCACGGGAUCACUACUGGGAACAGGGAAGCAGAAAGCCCUCAUUCAACUGGAUGCCCUAGAACUUUUGCUUUUGGACAAAAAUUUGAAAAGUGCUUUGCAAGAGGUCACUUUGUGGAUAGCCCCUCAGGCUCAGAGUCUUUCACUUUCUUCCUGCCCUUACCUUGAAGUUAAGAUUUGUUUCUGUAUGGCACCCCCUUGUCUGAGAGACAGUGACUGGUGCUAUUGCUAUCUGGUAGGGACCAGUAACCAAUUAUAGGACUAGGAGUGGAUCUCUGGAACUCAUACUUGACUCCAUGCUAGAGGCUACAAGGAAUAAAUAAAGAGGUGAGUGCA
This 1553-nucleotide long non-coding RNA is filed under the name Sus scrofa (pig). RNAcentral's name for it is "lncRNA (ENSSSCG00035044824.1)". Lineage: Eukaryota; Metazoa; Chordata; Mammalia; Artiodactyla; Suidae. The record is from RNAcentral.